This 774-nucleotide ribosomal RNA is filed under the name uncultured Neocallimastigales. RNAcentral's name for it is "partial large subunit ribosomal RNA". It matches the Rfam family "Eukaryotic large subunit ribosomal RNA", at positions 23 to 647 of the family's 3401-position model. The record is from RNAcentral. Lineage: Eukaryota; Fungi; Neocallimastigomycota; Neocallimastigomycetes; Neocallimastigales.
AGAGAUGUGUGAUGACGCAUAUCAAUAAGCGGAGGAAAAGAAACUAACAAGGAUUCCCCUAGUAACGGCGAGUGAAGCGGGAAGAGCUCAAAUUUGAAAUCUUCAAGGUUCUACCUUGACGAAUUGUAGUUUAUAGAAGUGUUUUCUGUUAGUAGAGUGGCAAAAGUUCUUUGGAAUAGGACAUCAUAGAGGGUGAGAAUCCCGUAUUUGGUCAUUCUUUCUAGCUUGUGAUACACUUUCAACGAGUCGGAUUGUUUGGGAAUGCAGUCCAAAAUGGGUGGUAAAUUUCAUCUAAAGCUAAAUAUUGGCGAGAGACCGAUAGCGAACAAGUACCGUGAGGGAAAGAUGAAAAGAACUUUGAAAAGAGAGUUAAACAGUACGUGAAAUUGUCUAAAGGGAAGCGUUUGACACCAGUGUUGUUUUUCCGAAAAUCAAUUACGAAUGUUUUGUUUUUGAGAAGUUAUGACUUCAUCGGCUUGCUUCUCUCUUUAUGAAACUUUCUUAAUGCACUUUUCGGUUAACAAGUCAACAUCAAUUUCUUUUGUUGUAAAAGGGUAUGAGGAAGGUGGCUUUCUUUUCGGAGAAAGUGUUUAUAGCCUUGUAGCCUCUGCAAUCGGAGAGAUUGAGGUCUGCAGCGUAGAUCCUUCGGGGUUAGAUACAUUUGUGCUAAGUUAUAGCUUUUCAUAGACAACUUGUUGACUAUGUUAAGUCUUGUAGCUUACUCGCUUAUGCUAUUUUACCUACGCUUAGGAUGUUGAUCUGUAGUGCGUGCGC